UACGUAGGGGGCAAGCGUUGUCCGGAAUCAUUGGGCGUAAAGCGCGUGUAGGCGGUCCGGUAAGUCCGCUGUGAAAGUCGGGGGCUCAACCCUCGGAUGCCGGUGGAUACUGUCGGGCUUGAGUACGGAAGAGGCGAGUGGAAUUCCUGGUGUAGCGGUGAAAUGCGCAGAUAUCAGGAGGAACACCAAUUGCGAAGGCAGCUCGCUGGGACGUUACUGACGCUGAGACGCGAAAGCUAGGGGAGCAAACAGG
Molecule: ribosomal RNA, 253 nt
Filed under: uncultured bacterium
Lineage: Bacteria
Description: partial 16S ribosomal RNA
Rfam family: Bacterial small subunit ribosomal RNA
Source: RNAcentral